ACGAACGCUGGUGGCAUGCCUAACACAUGCAAGUCGAACGAGACCUUCGGGUCUAGUGGCGCACGGGUGCGUAACGCGUGGGAAUCUGCCCUUGGGUUCGGAAUAACUUCGGGAAACUGAAGCUAAUGCCGGAUGAUGACGUAAGUCCAAAGAUUUAUCGCCCGAGGAUGAGCCCGCGUAGGAUUAGCUAGUUGGUGAGGUAAAGGCUCACCAAGGCGACGAUCCUUAGCUGGUCUGAGAGGAUGAUCAGCCACACUGGGACUGAGACACGGCCCAGACUCCUACGGGAGGCAGCAGUGGGGAAUAUUGGACAAUGGGCGAAAGCCUGAUCCAGCAAUGCCGCGUGAGUGAUGAAGGCCUUAGGGUUGUAAAGCUCUUUUACCCGGGAUGAUAAUGACAGUACCGGGAGAAUAAGCUCCGGCUAACUCCGU
RNAcentral lists this ribosomal RNA (431 nucleotides) under uncultured bacterium. Its description in RNAcentral is "bacterial SSU rRNA". It matches the Rfam family "Bacterial small subunit ribosomal RNA", at positions 29 to 506 of the family's 1533-position model. The record is from RNAcentral.